CAGUCGCCGCGGGAAAACGAGGGGGGCAAGCGUUGUUCGGAAUUAUUGGGCGUAAAGAGCUCGUAGGCGGUUUGUCGCGUCUGCUGUGAAAUCCCGAGGCUCAACCUCGGGCUUGCAGUGGGUACGGGCAGACUAGAGUGCGGUAGGGGAGAUUGGAAUUCCUGGUGUAGCGGUGGAAUGCGCAGAUAUCAGGAGGAACACCGAUGGCGAAGGCAGAUCUCUGGGCCGUAACUGACGCUGAGGAGCGAAAGCGUGGGGAGCGAACAGGAUUAGAUACCCCGGUAGUCCCUGUCUCUUAUAC
This 301-nucleotide ribosomal RNA is filed under the name uncultured bacterium. RNAcentral's name for it is "partial 16S ribosomal RNA". It matches the Rfam family "Bacterial small subunit ribosomal RNA", at positions 509 to 807 of the family's 1533-position model. The record is from RNAcentral.